This 433-nucleotide ribosomal RNA is filed under the name uncultured bacterium. Its description in RNAcentral is "partial 16S ribosomal RNA". It matches the Rfam family "Bacterial small subunit ribosomal RNA", at positions 29 to 507 of the family's 1533-position model. The record is from RNAcentral.
AACGAACGCUGGCGGCAUGCCUAACACAUGCAAGUCGAACGAGACCUUCGGGUCUAGUGGCGCACGGGUGCGUAACGCGUGGGAACCUGCCCUUAGGUUCGGAAUAACUCCCCGAAAGGGGUGCUAAUACCGGAUAAUGUCUUCGGACCAAAGAUUUAUCGCCUUUGGAUGGGCCCGCGUUGGAUUAGCUAGUUGGUAGGGUAAAAGCCUACCAAGGCGACGAUCCAUAGCUGGUCUGAGAGGAUGAUCAGCCACACUGGGACUGAGACACGGCCCAGACUCCUAGGGGAGGAGGAGGGGGGAAAUAUGGGACAAGGGGGAAAGGCCUAACCCAGCAAGGCCGGGGGAGUAAUGAAGGCCUUGGGGUUGAAAAGCUCUUUUACCCGGGAUGAAAAUAACAGUCCCGGGAAAAUAAGCUCCGGCUAACUCCGUG